UUGGGACAUCAGAACAAGGUGGCCUAGAAUAAGGGUUAAGAUUUGUUUGUGUUGGUUUAAUUAUAUUGUUUCCCUGAUGAUAAUGCUCUAGAGCAAUCCCAUCUUUCUGAAUACUCACUUGUAAGACGGAACUUUUGGGGGCUGAUCUGAAAAACACUUUCACUCGUUAUUUGGUCCAGCUGGGUAGCUAACAAAGAUUUAAUUCCUUGCACCUUGAAGAUGAUAGCUCUGUUAUUGUGCCUUUCCACAUAAAUGGGAAAGUUUGAUAGGCCUUUGGAGGUUAAAUAAGUGGACCAAACAUCAUGGAGUACUCCAAUACAUGAUUACUUGCUUGUAAUGUUGCUUUGUUAUCAAAUGAGCAUUGUUUAGCUUCUUCUUGAAUACCGGGCACAUUAUGCAUUUUGUGCUUGCCCAUAGAUGUAGCAGCUUGCUUCGAUGUAGCAUGACUCUUAUGUACUACAAUCACUGAUAACCUCAACAAAAUUAGAAAAUGCAUAUAUUAACUUCAAUCUGCUAAUUUUCG
Molecule: long non-coding RNA, 523 nt
Filed under: Phoenix dactylifera (date palm)
Lineage: Eukaryota; Viridiplantae; Streptophyta; Magnoliopsida; Arecales; Arecaceae
Description: long non-coding RNA (PDAC_LNC022590)
Source: RNAcentral